ACCAGGAUGGCUGAGAGGUUAAGGCGUUGGACUUAAGAUCCAAUGGGCCCUCAUGGGUUCAAACCCCACUCCUGGUA
Non-coding RNA from Anarrhichthys ocellatus (wolf-eel), 77 nucleotides. NCBI's taxonomy places the organism in Eukaryota, Metazoa, Chordata, Actinopteri, Perciformes, Anarhichadidae. The record is from the annotation of a RefSeq genome assembly.